RNAcentral lists this microRNA (18 nucleotides) under Xenopus laevis (African clawed frog). RNAcentral describes it as "xla-miR-181b-2-3p". Its record names the gene xla-miR-181b-2-3p. Lineage: Eukaryota; Metazoa; Chordata; Amphibia; Anura; Pipidae. The record is from miRBase by way of RNAcentral.
UUGAUCAAUGAAUGCAAA